UGCGCUUUUCCAUUUUCCUCUUUCUCUCUCUCUCUUUUCUUCUCCGUUUUUCUUGUUCUUUUUCAUGUCAAAUAUAGUUUAACCUUGUCUGAGUGCGAGUUUCAUCCUUUUUCAUAUUCAGUGGAUGCGGGUUUUGUUUUUCAUCUCUUUUUACUUCUUUUUUCCCCUUUAUGUGUGUGUGUUCUUUCUGUUGGUUCGGUUCAGUUUUCUUUGAUGGUUUUUGUUUUGUUUUGUUUUGUUUGUUAAUUACUUCUUCUACUUCUUCUAACCUGCUUUGUUAGCAAACAGCGAGAGGUUUAGGUUUCUGAGCUCAGCAAAGGACACAUAUACAUCGAACCAAAAAAAGGAAAGAGCAGUUAUUACCAGGACGCCCGUCUCGAUUGUACCAUUGUUGUUGAUUAAUUGUUAUUUUGUAAUUUGUGUGUUCCUUCUUCCUUCUUCUCGGGGUGGAAUUUACUCAACUAUAAAAUCAAAGAAUUGCGGUUUUGCUGUGCACUGUGUGUUUCUGGGAGAUGACAAACAAAAUGAGAUCAGAUUUGUGGCUGUUGCAUUAUCACAAGGAGUAUGUUCUGUGUUAAUGGGAGCUGUUUCGUAUUUGUGGGUUUGAUAUGAAAGAUAGAAGAAAAAAGAACACAAAAAAUUAAUGGAGAAGAAAUCUUCUUAAUCAAAACAAAAAGAGCUACCACAGCACGCCGAUCCGCGCAAAGACGGCCCAGUGUUCGCGCUUCACUUCGUAAGCUAACAAAUAGAAUCUACGGCCACAUGACAUACAUAUAUAUAGAACUAUUAUCAAAGGUAUGUAUAUGUGUAUACGUAUACACGUACGCGCGUGUGUGUGUGUAAGUAUGCUAUGCGUUUAAUGUAAAUGUAAAAUAAUAGCAUUAUUCAUCGCCACAAUUCCGUCAGCCUUACUUAUUUACUUAGAAUAGGAAGUCGAGGGAAACAGAAGGAAAGCGGAAAAUUGAAGAUGAAAAUAGAAAUAGAAAACAAAGAGAGGUGGGAAUAUACAGUGUGGGGUUUUCACGUAAAAACCUAAACCUCCACAAAGAGAAAAACGAACUCUUUCUCCAUUCGUUCAAUCUUGUUUUCUCUCUUUCUCUUCUUCUCCGACCAUAUGUUUUGUGCCGUUUGUGUUCACCUACAUUAUACACCGCUUACUACACUACAACCCUGUUUUGCUACAACAUGUUUUCCUUUGUUUCUGUCUUCUUCUUCCUUUAUUUUUAGUACAAAUAUAUCUCUGGUUGUAUUUUUCAUGUUUUUUGUUUUCCUUUCUUUAUUAUGUUGCUUUUCUUUUUCCUCUAUUCCUUCUUCUAUAUGCUGCCCGUUUGCUGUGUAUUUUAAAUAUUAUUUGUCACAAUAAAAAGUCUUUGUUUAGUUUUUCCUUUCUUUCUUUCCUCCACUUUUCUUCUCUUGAUUUUCGUUUUACUUCAAAUAACCAACAAACGGUGCACCUGACUGAUUGCGCAACGUUACUAUCUCGUUUCUCUGUGUUGCGUUCUGCUUCGGCUUGCACCUCUUCUUGUGGGUCAUUUUUGCUUUGAUAAGAGUAAUAGUGUUCAACGCUUUUUUUUACCACUUUGCACUUCUUUUUCCCUUCACUGCUUACAGGUUGUUGCUAGCUGCACGCUUUUUUUCGUUAUCUUCUUCUGCUUUGUGGUUGCCUGCAAGUCAACUUACUACACUGCGCAUCGUUUUUUUCGCCCCUUUUUUCGGACUAUGCUCCAGUGCAGUUUUUCCAUAAAAUUGAGGCAAGUUUGUUAAAAUACCAGCCAUUUAUCUGCUUUCCCCAGUCAGGAAUAGGGAGUUCGAUUCUCCUAAAGAAGGAAAAACUACAAGCCCAAUAAUAGUACCCAGAAGCGCAACAGUAAAAGGAGAACCAAAAAGAAAAAGGAGUUCACAAACGACAGUCUUUAUGUUGAAAUGUUGUACUACAAAAAAGUGUGUAUAUAUUUACGGACAGGACAAAUAAAUUGUAAAACAAACAAAAAAAAAACGACGAGAAGAAAUACAAACAUACGCACAUAAAAUCUAAAAAAGGAAAAAGGAAUAAGAUGAGAGUAGAGAAGAGAAGGCAAAAAACAAACCGAAACAAACUCAUGCAAAUUAAGUUCCUUUCUUCACAUCUUUGUGUUUACAUUGCUUGUUGUUUUCUUUCCCUUUCGCUUUCUCUCUCUCUCUUUCUUCUGCUCUUUACUUUGUGUGUUACAUGCUAUAGGCGUUGCAUUCCUUUCUUAAUCUCCCUUAGCUCUUCUUCACCGCUUUCCACGACUCGCCACACAUCUUAAGCCUAACCAAUAUAUGAUCAGUAACACAUCAUUAUCGCUUCUGUAUGCUUGUUUUGUAGUGUUUCUAGCGCAUCUCGAGAUCUAAUGUAACGGAAAAAUGUUAUGUAAAAAAAUACGAAAAAACGAACGGAAAGCAUACACAAUACGCAUUCUUCCAAUACGCUUCCUACCAUGCACCAACUACCCACCACGGGGUGAGCUUUUUCCAGCAAAAUCGCCGAGAGGAACUUGUUUUCCACCGCCCUGUUUUUCAUAGCGUAGCGAGUCUUGUCUACAGUCGGUCGGGCAUUUUCCGUCCUGAGCUUGGCUGAUUUUUUCCAGUUUCAGUUCAGUUCACGUGCGCCACGUGGGUUGUGUUCCGACUGGGCCGAAGGGGGGAAACGUAACGGGUGUGUGUUUUGCGGAACAGG
Anopheles stephensi (Asian malaria mosquito) is the source of this 2698-nucleotide long non-coding RNA. RefSeq lists it as uncharacterized. The record is from RefSeq and is a predicted model, not a curated record. Lineage: Eukaryota; Metazoa; Arthropoda; Insecta; Diptera; Culicidae. The transcript is spliced from 2 exons.